CCCCUGGACGAAGACUGACGCUCAGGUGCGAAAGCGUGGGGAGCAAACAGGAUUAGAUACCCUGGUAGUCCACGCCGUAAACGAUGUCGACUUGGAGGUUGUGCCCUUGAAGUGUGGCUUCCGGAGCUAACGCGUUAAGUCGACCGCCUGGGGAGUACGGCCGCAAGGUUAAAACUCAAAUGAAUUGACGGGGGCCCGCACAAGCGGUGGAGCAUGUGGUU
Molecule: ribosomal RNA, 221 nt
Filed under: Shigella flexneri
Lineage: Bacteria; Pseudomonadati; Pseudomonadota; Gammaproteobacteria; Enterobacterales; Enterobacteriaceae
Description: partial 16S ribosomal RNA
Rfam family: Bacterial small subunit ribosomal RNA
Source: RNAcentral